CAGUUCGGUCCCUAUCUGUUGCGGGCGGAAGAGAUUUGAAGGGAGCUGUCCUUAGUACGAGAGGACCGGGAUGGACGUACCUCUGGUGCACCAGUUGUCCUGCCAAGGGCAUAGCUGGGUAGCUAAGUACGGACGAGAUAAACGCUGAAAGCAUCUAAGCGUGAAACUCCCCCUAAGAUGAGAUCUCUCACCUCGAAAGAGGGUAAGGGCCCAGGAAGACUACCUGGUAGAUAGGCCGGAGGUGGAAGUGCAGUAAUGUAUGGAGCUGACCGGUACUAAUCGCCCGAGGGCUUGACCUA
Molecule: ribosomal RNA, 299 nt
Filed under: Candidatus Oscillibacter avistercoris
Lineage: Bacteria; Bacillati; Bacillota; Clostridia; Eubacteriales; Oscillospiraceae
Description: partial 23S ribosomal RNA
Rfam family: Bacterial large subunit ribosomal RNA
Source: RNAcentral